UGCCACUGUACCUGAAGGCAUCCUUCCAGAAGUUUUCAUAAAGCUAUUACCCUUGAACAAAGAAUAUUGUUGGCAGGUAGACUAACCUGUUUUCUCUGUUUUCUCCUUUCAGUGUAAAUGUACUGCCAGGGAACUCUGCACAGCAGUUUGUUAAACUGACUUAAAAGUAUUUAAUUAUUAGCCACAUGAACUGCAGCAACACAAGGCUGAAGUGAAAGGCAGAGAACCUGUAUACAGAGGCAGGAAAUCCGACUGAUAAAUCCCUGUUCAACUAAAAGGCAGAAAUGGCAGGUCUUCUUAGAUGUAAUAUCUGCAUGGCCUUGUUGGCAGGAUGUUGGGCGUCACGUGUGCUGGAGCUGGAAAAGGUCAACAGCUGGUUCUGAAUGAAAAGGUUGUUCACCUGAGCCCAGCCGCCAGCUUCUCCAUCGCCGCUUUGCGUUCCUCUGCCUUCUGCUGUGAACGCCGCAGGACGUUCCUCAGCUCCUGCAGGUGGUCCAGCGUCCCCACCAGCUCGCCCUUCACCGUUUUCAUCUGACUCUCCAGCAUCUGCGUGUGAUGAAGCGAGUUUCUCCUGUAUCGUCUGCUGGAGCGAACCUUUUCCUCCAGGUUCUUGGUCUGCUGCAGCAUCUUCUCCAUCUUCACCAGUUGAGC
Molecule: long non-coding RNA, 651 nt
Organism: Amphiprion ocellaris (clown anemonefish)
Lineage: Eukaryota; Metazoa; Chordata; Actinopteri; Pomacentridae
Source: Ensembl